GAUGGUCGAGAGGCAAGCACACUUGACUUUCACUCAAAAGUCUCGGGUUCGAACCCCAGCCCUGGCA
Rhamnusium bicolor is the source of this 67-nucleotide non-coding RNA. The record is from the annotation of a GenBank genome assembly. NCBI's taxonomy places the organism in Eukaryota, Metazoa, Arthropoda, Insecta, Coleoptera, Cerambycidae.